CCUACGGGCUGCAGCAGUAGGGAAUCUUCGGCAAUGGACGAAAGUCUGACCGAGCAACGCCACGUGAGUGAAGAAGGCUUUCGGAUCGUAAAACUCUGUUGUUAGUGAAGAACAAGUAGGAGAGUAACUGCUCUUACCUUGACGGUAUCUAACCAGAAAGCCACGGCUAACUACGUGCCAGCAGCCGCGGUAAUACGUAGGUGGCAAGCGUUGUCCGGAUUUAUUGGGCGUAAAGCGAGCGCAGGCGGUCUUUUAAGUCUGAUGUGAAAGCCCUCAGCUCAACCGAGGAAGGUCAUUGGAAACUGGAGGACUUGAGUGCAGAAGAGGAGAGUGGAAUUCCAUGUGUAGCGGUGAAAUGCGUAGAUAUAUGGAGGAACACCAGUGGCGAAGGCGACUCUCUGGUCUGUAACUGACGCUGAGGCUCGAAAGCGUGGGGAGCAAACAGGAUUAGAUACCCGUGUAGUC
RNAcentral lists this ribosomal RNA (465 nucleotides) under uncultured bacterium. RNAcentral describes it as "bacterial SSU rRNA". It matches the Rfam family "Bacterial small subunit ribosomal RNA", at positions 338 to 795 of the family's 1533-position model. The record is from RNAcentral.